AAACCUCAGAUGUUGAUGCUCUUCUAGAACAUCAUUAUUUUCGAUCAACUGAAGAGGGAGCUGGUUCGUUGGUUAGAUGGAAAAAUACAAGAAGGGGAAAAAAUUAGAAGUAUUGAGAGACUCGACAUUAUCUUUGGUUGGGUGCGAAUGAAAACUGAUAAGGAUGUUAGGGAAAUGAUGUUUGGACGAGAUGACAUCACUUUGAUUGUUGUAAUCAGUUAGAAAUAUUAUGUUUUCAGUUUGCUUAUGUUGUAGUGAUGUUUGUU
This 266-nucleotide long non-coding RNA is filed under the name Lathyrus oleraceus (garden pea). Its description in RNAcentral is "Pisum sativum (pea) long non-coding RNA (PSAT_LNC041751)". The record is from RNAcentral. Lineage: Eukaryota; Viridiplantae; Streptophyta; Magnoliopsida; Fabales; Fabaceae.